RNAcentral lists this ribosomal RNA (429 nucleotides) under Chloroflexota bacterium. RNAcentral's name for it is "Chloroflexi bacterium partial 16S ribosomal RNA". It matches the Rfam family "Bacterial small subunit ribosomal RNA", at positions 355 to 776 of the family's 1533-position model. Lineage: Bacteria; Bacillati; Chloroflexota. The record is from RNAcentral.
UGGGGAAUAUUGCACAAUGGGCGCAAGCCUGAUGCAGCCAUGCCGCGUGUGUGAAGAAGGCCUUCGGGUUGUAAAGCACUUUCAGCGGGGAGGAAGGCGAUAAGGUUAAUAACCUUGUCGAUUGACGUUACCCGCAGAAGAAGCACCGGCUAACUCCGUGCCAGCAGCCGCGGUAAUACGGAGGGUGCAAGCGUUAAUCGGAAUUACUGGGCGUAAAGCGCACGCAGGCGGUCUGUCAAGUCGGAUGUGAAAUCCCCGGGCUUAACCUGGGAACUGCAUUCGAAACUGGCAGGCUAGAGUCUUGUAGAGGGGGGUAGAAUUCCAGGUGUAGCGGUGAAAUGCGUAGAGAUCUGGAAGAAUACCGGUGGCGAAGGCGGCCCCCUGGACAAAGACUGACGCUCAGGUGCGAAAGCGUGGGGAGCAAACAGG